UCGGCAAUGGGCGAAAGCCUGACCGAGCGACGCCGCGUGCGGGAUGAAGGCCUUCGGGUUGUAAACCGCUGUCGUAGAGGAGGAAGUGCAGGAGGGUUCUCCCUUCUGUUUGACCUAUUCUAGGAGGAAGUACGGGCUAAGUUCGUGCCAGCAGCCGCGGUAAGACGAACCGUACAAACGUUACUCGGAAUUACUGGGCUUAAAGGGUGCGUAGGCUGCGCGGAAAGUUGGAUGUGAAAGCCCUCGGCUCAACUGGGGAAUUGCAUUCAAAACUGCCGUGCUCGAGGGAGACAGAGGUAAGCGGAACUCAAGGUGGAGCGGUGAAAUGCGUUGAUAUCUUGAGGAACACCGGUGGCGAAGGCGGCUUACUGGGUCUCUUCUGACGCUGAGGCACGAAAGCUAAGGUAGCAAACGGGAUUAGAUACCCCGGUAGUCUUAGCUGUAAACGAUGAGCACUUGAUUGAAGGGUCCUCCAUAGCCUUUCAGUCGUAGCGAAAGUGUUAAGUGCUCCGCCUGGGGAGUAUGGUCGCAAGGCUGAAACUCAAAGAA
Molecule: ribosomal RNA, 549 nt
Filed under: uncultured bacterium
Lineage: Bacteria
Description: bacterial SSU rRNA
Rfam family: Bacterial small subunit ribosomal RNA
Source: RNAcentral